This 497-nucleotide ribosomal RNA is filed under the name uncultured bacterium. RNAcentral's name for it is "partial 16S ribosomal RNA". It matches the Rfam family "Bacterial small subunit ribosomal RNA", at positions 28 to 507 of the family's 1533-position model. The record is from RNAcentral.
GAUGAACGCUGGCGGCGUGCCUAAUACAUGCAAGUCGAGCGAACAGACGAGGAGCUUGCUCCUCUGACGUUAGCGGCGGACGGGUGAGUAACACGUGGAUAACCUACCUAUAAGACUGGGAUAACUUCGGGAAACCGGAGCUAAUACCGGAUAAUAUAUUGAACCGCAUGGUUCAAUAGUGAAAGACGGUUUUGCUGUCACUUAUAGAUGGAUCCGCGCCGCAUUAGCUAGUUGGUAAGGUAACGGCUUACCAAGGCAACGAUACGUAGCCGACCUGAGAGGGUGAUCCGCCACACUGGCAGUGAGAGACGGUCCAGACUCCUACGGUAGGCAGCAGUGGGAAAUCUUCGGGAAUGGGCGAGAGGCUGAAAGAGCAACGCCGCGGGAGUGAUGAAGGUCUUCGGAUCGUAAAGCGCUGUUAUUGGGGAGGAAGAAAUGUGUAAGGAACUAGGCACGUCUUGACGGUACCUAAUCAGAAAGCCACGGCUAACUACGUG